GAUGAACGCUAGCGGCAGGCCUAACACAUGCAAGUCGAGGGGUAGAAGGAGCUUGCUCCUUUAGGCCCGGCGCACGGUUGCUUAACGCGUAUGCAAUCUCCCUUCUACAGGGUAUUACCCCAGGAAAAUUUGGAUUAAUGCCCCAUAGUAUAUAACCUUCGCAUGUUGGUUAUAUUAAAGUUCCAACGGUACAAGAUGAGCAUGCGUCCCAUUAGUUAGGUGGUAAGGUAACGGCUUACCAAGACGAUGAUGGGUAGGGGUCCUGAGAGGGAGAUCCCCCACACUGGUACUGAGACACGGACCAGACUCCUACGGGAGGCAGCAGUGAGGAAUACUGGUCAAUGGUCGCAAGACUGAACCAGCCAUGCCGCGUGCAGGAAGACGGUCCUAUGGAUUGUAAACUGCUUUUAUACAGGAAGAAACCCUACCACGGGUGGGAGCUUGACGGUACUGUAGGAAUAAGGAUCGGCUAACUCCGUG
This 480-nucleotide ribosomal RNA is filed under the name uncultured bacterium. RNAcentral's name for it is "partial 16S ribosomal RNA". It matches the Rfam family "Bacterial small subunit ribosomal RNA", at positions 28 to 507 of the family's 1533-position model. The record is from RNAcentral.